Peromyscus leucopus (white-footed mouse) is the source of this 1284-nucleotide long non-coding RNA. RefSeq lists it as uncharacterized. The transcript has 3 exons. The record is from RefSeq and is a predicted model, not a curated record. Lineage: Eukaryota; Metazoa; Chordata; Mammalia; Rodentia; Cricetidae.
UGCCUGCUCAACUCUAUGUAUAAAGUUAGAGUAAUACUUUUUAAUGGGUGUUGUACGACUCCACAUGGCAUGGAUGUACAUGGAGUUGACUGCUGGUUAUUUACAUGAAUUCAUGUGUCUACAAAGGGGUUUGGCAUAUGUAUGCAAUCAUUGCAAAUCCUCUAAGUUAACUAUUUGCCAACGGAUCUGGUUGGCACAAACAUCAUUUAUUAUGCAGAAGAGUCUUGUGACUAUGUCCAAGUGGGCAGUGUGGGGAGUUGUCUUCAGAAGUUCCCCCACCAUCAGAACCUAAGAUGCAUCCAGCACCGGUCAGAAUACUGCUCAGGAGAGCUCUACCAUGCCUUCUAUAGAUAGGCACUAGGAACUGGAUUUGGUGGGAAUGAAGAGACAAGAUCUCACUAUGUAACCUGACCUGGCUUUGACUGCCUGGAGUUCAUCUUGGCUCAGCCUCCUGAGUUCUGGAAUUAUAGAUCUUUAAGGUGGCUUCUGAAAAGUUUGACAUGCGGCCCGCACUCCACUUCGUUGAAAGAGCUGGUGUAGACUUGUUUACACAUUAGAAAGUGCUUUCUCCACACACCUGCUGUUUUCUCACAGAGAGACCAUGAAGUGGUCUCCUGGGAGAAUGUCAACUCAAGUGUCAGGAGGAAGCAGAUCUGCGCGGUUCAGUAACCGACAAGUUCUAGCAUAGUCAAAUUCCGACGCGAUCCUGACCGUACUGGGGAUUUACUCGGUGAUCUGAGUUGGCCUGCACUGGAAUGGGGUUCACCAUCGCUUAGGGAAGCUCUCUAGCCCUAUGUCUGAAUUUUGAUCAUUCACCCCGCAAACGAGGGUCUCAGAGCUCCGGACCAUAACUUAGGCACAGACACUGUGGCGCCACUGGAGAGACGUGCCAAAUUUUAAGUCAUUCUCCCCGGCAGCGCCUUUAGCUAUGCUCAAAAAGAAAAAGAGGCACCACCGCGACAUCAACGUUCGGCCAGCGGCUCCCUUCGGCCCGUGUGCAUUUCUUUGCACCUGCACGUCUGCAGGCUUGCACCCUGCAGACGGCCGGCCCGCAGGGUUUCAGCUGGGGAGCGUCGUUUUCAGCCGGCCGCGAGUCCCGGGAGGAGAAGGAGGGUGGAGGGGGGAUGCGAAAGGGAGAGAAAGCUCCCAGCUUGCAGAACCAGCUCUCCCCUCCCUCCGCCACGAUCCCAGGCGCACCCGAACCUCUCUGGGUCUUGGGGACACCCAGCAGGCAGGGCGCGCAAAUUCCGCGCGCCCACCGAGCCAGCGCGCGCGCGCCCAGGC